GUUUGCUUACAAUCUUUUUGAGAGGAAAAAUGCAUUCCAGUGUUGUUUGUUUCAGUUGUUAGUUUCCAGUGCCAGUACUUUAAGAGAACCUCAGAAUGAAUGUGUUUUAAUUCAAUCUGCUAGGACAGAAGCUCUUCUGUGUGAUUUGUAUCCACCGGAGAUCUGUUUUUACCAAUACUAGUGCAUGAACUUUAUUGCAUCUAACUAGUGUCUGCAGUUUGAUUGGCUUAAGUGUCUCAUUAUCUGAUUUAACCCAUCAAGUUUGUAUCUACAAGGUUGUUUGAUAUGUCACGCUUGACAACUAGUUUUUGUUCUGUGUAUCUUGUGUUCUCACACAUGUUUACCUUGAUCUUGCAGUUUCAGCCAUGGGUAAGGGACGAGACCCACAUCAACAUUGUGGUCAUUGGCCAUGUCAACGAGCAGGGAGCGGAAGACGCAGCCAGUGACCAGCGAGUGCAUGGGUGGCGCAAGUGGCGACGAAGAGUGGCCAGAGACUACUAGUGGUGAGCGGCGACGGCGACCUCGAGACCAGCAAGUAGGCGAAAGCGAUCUCAUUGUGAAGUGGCUGAAUCGACUUAGGCGGUUUCUUCGAAAUUCUUGGAAAUGCUUUGGUAGUUUCUUUCGGCGAGAAACUGUUUCAUACUGAAGUUUACUGGUACAUGUGUGAUUUGCUACUGUUGUUUCAUUUGGGUUGGGUUGGUUCCAGUGGGGAGAUGUGCACGCAUACUGGCAGCAUGAGCUAGCAGCCAUGAUUGCCAGCCAGCCACCACCACAUAAAUGUAAUGCUUCUCCAACCAAGCAAUGUCAAACUUAGCUAGCUGGGUGGCCCUGACAUUCUUGGAACCGAGCAACCGAACUACCAUUCUGUAUUUUAUAAUAUGUUCCUGUUAUGCAUGACAUAGGCUUGAUCAAAUCUUACUCUUUUAAUCACAAUAGCAUAGCAGUAACAUGUUAUAACGUUGGAUCAAGAAAAGCAUAUGUAAUAAGUUCUCUCAUGUUUAAUUACCUCAAUUGUCAAGCAGUGUUAGGUGUUGUAUACAUUUACUGCUAUCAAUCGACUACAGUAGUCAUCUUGAUGCUUGGGACUUGCAUAUAUUCUACUGCACUUGAAACAUCAACAAGUAUUUUUCCUUGUUUUUUGGAACAAUUGGUGAACUUCAUAUUCUUGAAUAAAUGCAUUACUAUUCGGUAUAGUUCUAGGCGGCUCUUUGUAUUUUACAGCUCCUUAUCAUGUCCCUCUAAUAUUUUUUUAGGUGGCCAUGAACUCAGUAAAUCAUCAGGAAAUGCCUUUGUGCAGCUCACCUAUGGCCUUGUUUGUCCUGCAGGUUAGUGAGCAGCAUUAGGAGGAGGAGCUCAAGCAGGCCACCAUGAUGCACCCCCGCAGUAGCAGGUGUAGAUGCUGGGCUUUCUUGCUUCUUCAUGAGCAUCAGGACAAAGAAGUCGGUGGAAGAGUAGUUCUAGCUCAUUGGAGCUAGUUCUGAGAGUAAUGAAGCCCUUUAUGCUGCUCCUAUUUGUAUGUGUGUUAUAUGAUGUAGCAGAAUCUGGCUCAUGUGAUUAUGCACUUGUGGAGCUUGUUAUCUGAUUGUAAACUUGAUGCUAUCACAUUUGUAUGUGUGUUAUUAUAUGAUGUAACACUUUGAUGGUUGAUAAUAUUUGAAAUAUUUCA
This is a long non-coding RNA of Triticum aestivum (bread wheat), 1666 nucleotides long. RefSeq lists it as uncharacterized. The transcript is spliced from 2 exons. Lineage: Eukaryota; Viridiplantae; Streptophyta; Magnoliopsida; Poales; Poaceae. The record is from RefSeq and is a predicted model, not a curated record.